This is a long non-coding RNA of Glycine soja, 1181 nucleotides long. RefSeq lists it as uncharacterized. The transcript has 2 exons. The record is from RefSeq and is a predicted model, not a curated record. Lineage: Eukaryota; Viridiplantae; Streptophyta; Magnoliopsida; Fabales; Fabaceae.
ACAUAGACUCAAAAGUUUAGUCCAAUUAUUUUUGUGGAUCAAGCAAUCAAUCUCAUGAAAAAUGCCGAUUUCACGGGUUGAGCCUUAACCUAGUCGUCCAUAUAUCUACCCCAACUAGAUUAUAAUAUUUUGGUGAAUGGAGAAAGAGUUGGUCCUAUUCUUCCUAGAAAGAGUCUAAGAUAAGGAAAUCCUUUAUCACCAUAUGCAUUUAUCCUUUAUAUAGAGGGUCUUUCUUCACUUUGAAAGAAGGUUGAAGGGUGUUGAGAUAUUCAUAGAGUCAAAGUGCAUAGAGGAAUUACUAUCCUCUCACACUUGUUAUCUGUUGAUUUCUAUUUUUUGUUUUGCAGGACAAUUGAUAAAGAGGCAGAUGUUCUUAAAAAUAUUUUGACUACAUUUGAGGCAUCAUCAGGCCUAGUUGUGAAUUUGCGUAAGUCUGAAAUUUGUUUUAGUAGAAACACGUCUCAAAUUGCAAGAGAUUCUAUCUUCUUUCACUUAGGGAUGAGUAUUUGGAUAUGCCAUCUAUGAUUAGAACCAAGAAGAAAGCUAUUUUCAAUUAUCUAAGAGAUGAGUUUGGAAGAAUAUAUUCAACACUAGUCCAACAAGAAUCUUUCAAAGGGCAGAGAGAAAAGUGCUUAAUUAUCAAAUAUGUUGCACAAUCUAUUACAACCUAUUGCAUGAGUAACUUUUUGCUUCCAUCUUGUUUGUGUGAUGAGAUCCAAAGAAAGCUUAAUUCUUUUUGGUGGGAUUCUAAUAGAAUCAAUAUAGAGGUAUCAAGUGGCUUAACUGUGAAUGUUUAACUAUCAGGAAGGAAUUUGGAGUAUCUACAUGGUUGGUGAUUAAAGAUGGCAUUAGACAACGUUUGGGUGAUGGAAAUAAAAUGAAUAUUUGGAGGGACCCUUGGAUGCAUACAAGUGAUAGUCCUUGUAUUAAAACUACUCCUAUUCAAGGACUAGAACAUCUCAAGGUUUAUGAUUUGAUUGAGAGUAAGUACAUCACGAAUUAUGAACUUAUUCAUGAUCUUUAUCCCACGUGAUGUUCAUGCUAUCGAAUGCAUGCCAAUUUAUUUUCAAAAAAUUGAUGUAAGUUGAUUUGGAACUUGGGUAGAGAUGGCAACUAUUAUGUAGAAUCAAGAUAUUAUCAUGUCAGUUUGUCAAAAAAAAAAAUAUUAUCAUGUCAUGGAA